Molecule: long non-coding RNA, 442 nt
Organism: Dreissena polymorpha
Lineage: Eukaryota; Metazoa; Mollusca; Bivalvia; Myida; Dreissenidae
Exons: 3
Source: RefSeq, a predicted model, not a curated record
UAGAGCAAGAGACCGCCGAACAUUACAGUCACUCUAUUUGUUAUUUUCAUUAGGCCAAUAGGCCUUAACAUUUAACUUUUGGGAUAAUUUAUCGAAUGUUGGAACCGUUGUGUUGAACUUAAAUCAAUAGAAAUAAAUCGUUAUGAACAUUGAAGAGAACUUUAUGUAUGCUUAUUAUUUGAGUUUUAAAGACUAUGUCACACUGUCAUUUUAAUGGUGCUCGUAACAAUCGUGAUCGAAUCGAAAAUAAAAACACCAUACGCGAGGCCUCGGAAAAAUGACAACUUUGAUGAGAGUGCAGGAUCACGUGACUCUGUGGGGUUCCAAUUAAACGUUGACGGAUGUAAACACACCGAAUCAUUUGACAUGUCGUACAUCGAGCGUGACGUACUUUGUUUGGCCAACAAUUUUAUCUGAUGUAGAUCAUGAUUCACUAUACCCU